Molecule: ribosomal RNA, 405 nt
Filed under: uncultured bacterium
Lineage: Bacteria
Description: bacterial SSU rRNA
Rfam family: Bacterial small subunit ribosomal RNA
Source: RNAcentral
UGGGGAAUCUUGCACAAUGGGGGAAACCCUGAUGCAGCGACGCCGCGUGGGUGAUGAAGGUCUUCGGAUCGUAAAGCCCUUUCGGCAGGGAAGAGUAAAGACGGUACCUGCAAAAGAAGCCCCGGCUAACUACGUGCCAGCAGCCGCGGUAAUACGUAGGGGGCCAGCGUUGUUCGGAAUUACUGGGCGUAAAGAGCGCGUAGGCGGCGCAGUGUGUUUGGUGUGAAAUCUCCCGGCUCAACCGGGAGGGGCCAUCGAAAACUGCUGUGCUUCGGGUAUGGGAGAGGGGAGUGGAAUUCCCGGUGUAGCGGUGAAAUGCGUAGAGAUCGGGAGGAACACCAGCGACGAAGGUGGCUCCCUGGACCAUUACCGACGCUGAGGCGCGAAAGCUAGGGGAGCAAACAG